AUUGAACGCUGGCGGCAUGCCUUACACAUGCAAGUCGAACGGUAACAGGUUAAGCUGACGAGUGGCGAACGGGUGAGUAAUAUAUCGGAACGUGCCCAGUCGUGGGGGAUAACGUAGCGAAGGCUACGCUAAUACCGCAUACGAUCUACGGAUGAAAACGGGGGAUCGCAAGACCUCGCGCGAUCGGAGCGGCCGAUAUCAGAUUAGGUUGUUGGUGAGGUAAAAGCUCACCAAGCCUGCGAUCUGUAGCUGGUCUGAGAGGACGACCAGCCACACUGGAACUGAGACACGGUCCAGACUCCUACGGGAGGCAGCAGUGGGGAGUUUUGGACAAUGGACGCAAGUCUGAUCCAGCAAUGCCGCGUGCAGGACGAAGGCCUUCGGGUUGUAAACUGCUUUUGUACGGAACGAAACGGUGAGCUCUAAUACAGUUUGCUAAUGACGGUACCGUAAGAAUAAGCCCCGGCUAACUCUGUGCCAGCAGCAGCCGCGG
Molecule: ribosomal RNA, 493 nt
Filed under: uncultured bacterium
Lineage: Bacteria
Description: partial 16S ribosomal RNA
Rfam family: Bacterial small subunit ribosomal RNA
Source: RNAcentral